Molecule: transfer RNA, 75 nt
Filed under: Candidatus Gemmiger faecigallinarum
Lineage: Bacteria; Bacillati; Bacillota; Clostridia; Eubacteriales; Oscillospiraceae
Also listed under: 1 other name
Description: tRNA-Gly
Rfam family: tRNA
About the family: Transfer RNA (tRNA) molecules are approximately 80 nucleotides in length. Their secondary structure includes four short double-helical elements and three loops (D, anti-codon, and T loops). Further hydrogen bonds mediate the characteristic L-shaped molecular structure. tRNAs have two regions of fundamental functional importance: the anti-codon, which is responsible for specific mRNA codon recognition, and the 3' end, to which the tRNAs corresponding amino acid is attached (by aminoacyl-tRNA synthetases). tRNAs cope with the degeneracy of the genetic code in two manners: having more than one tRNA (with a specific anti-codon) for a particular amino acid; and 'wobble' base-pairing, i.e. permitting non-standard base-pairing at the 3rd anti-codon position.
Source: RNAcentral
GCGGGUGUCGUACAACGGCCAGUACAUCAGCCUUCCAAGCUGAGGACGAGGGUUCGACUCCCUUCACCCGCUCCA